AACUACUUCGAGGCUAGGGUUUUUACACUUGAGAAAUUAAAAUGCUUUGACUAAGUCAACCGGGCCUCGUCCGCUGCGAAAAUCCAUCAGAAAAGCUGUAAAAAUCGGCCCGGAGCACUUCUGGAGGGCGCGGCCGCGCUAAACUAGCGCAGGCGCGCUAGUGGCAGCAGUAGGUAGCGCGGGCGCGCUAGAGGUUAGCGCGGGCGCGCUACUGUCUGCCACUGGCAGCCCUAUUC
RNAcentral lists this long non-coding RNA (236 nucleotides) under Daucus carota (carrot). RNAcentral's name for it is "long non-coding RNA (DCAR_LNC001307)". Lineage: Eukaryota; Viridiplantae; Streptophyta; Magnoliopsida; Apiales; Apiaceae. The record is from RNAcentral.